This 254-nucleotide ribosomal RNA is filed under the name uncultured bacterium. Its description in RNAcentral is "partial 16S ribosomal RNA". It matches the Rfam family "Bacterial small subunit ribosomal RNA", at positions 524 to 776 of the family's 1533-position model. The record is from RNAcentral.
UACGAAGGGGGCUAGCGUUGCUCGGAAUUACUGGGCGUAAAGGGCGCGUAGGCGGACAGUUAAGUCAGAGGUGAAAGCCCAGGGCUCAACCCCUGGAAUUGCCUUUGAUACUGGCUGUCUUGAGUAUGGGAGAGGUGAGUGGAACUCCGAGUGUAGAGGUGAAAUUCGUAGAUAUUCGGAAGAACACCAGUGGCGAAGGCGACUCACUGGCCCAUUACUGACGCUGAGGCGCGAAAGCGUGGGGAGCAAACAGG